Long non-coding RNA from Gallus gallus (chicken), 874 nucleotides. NCBI's taxonomy places the organism in Eukaryota, Metazoa, Chordata, Aves, Galliformes, Phasianidae. The record is from Ensembl.
GUGAGACUUCCCUAUAGGUCCCACCUUGUGUUGCCUUCAGCACCCUGUGAUAUGAGUGGAAAUUGUGACAUUGCAGUGAGCCAGAGGGGCUGCUGAGCUUCUUUGAACAGCAUGACACAGGCUGGAUCAGGACUCCUUUCACAAAUGGAAGGGACUACUCAGCUGAGAAUGGGCAUAGCUGUAAAAUUAAGCAAAGAGCAAGAACAAGAAAUUGAAUACAGCUCCUGAGCAAAGGAACAGGGAGUUCGUGAUAGGUUAUCAGACAGUUUAGGAAGAAAUAAUUGGUUGCUACUGUGGAGAAGGGAUUGUUGCCCACUGGCACUUUAAAGUCAUUCUGUAUCCCAAGUAACAGCAAUUCAAUACCCUGGAGUCCCUUGGAAAAGCUGGAGUCAAAUGUUAAAGACACACAAGGAACUCAGACACACCGAACCAAGACCAAACCAAGCAGAGAACAGAAGGGAUUUCCUUUGCAAUCUGCUGGCGUAUCCAUUUUCUGUCAAGCUUGUAUAUAUGGCUUGUGGCUGCAUGAACAUUCUCUAAUUUUCUCACCUCUGCAUUUACAUCAUUUAUCUUUUCUUAUGUACUAUUGAAUAUCAGAAAUAAAAGCCAUAGAGCAAGUCUCAGUGGACCUAUAAUUGAAAAUCACAUUUGAAGGAACAUAAAUACUUACAUUCUGGUAUUGUUUCGUCUGGAGAAGAGAAGGCUCGGUGGAGACCUUAUCGCUCUCUACAACUACCUGAAGGGAGGUUGUGGUGAGGUGGAGGUCAGCCUCUUCUCCUGUGUAACUAGUGAUAGGACUAGAGGGAAUGUCCUCAAGUGGCUCCAGGGGAGGUUCAGGUUGGAUGUUAGGAAAAAUUUCUUCUCCAAAAUUGUG